RNAcentral lists this unclassified non-coding RNA (203 nucleotides) under uncultured fungus. RNAcentral's name for it is "sequence contains ITS1". The record is from RNAcentral. Lineage: Eukaryota; Fungi.
GUAUAUUAGUGCUUGCGCACAACAAUAGGUUUCAUUACAUUCGAGUGUGUGUAAAAAUCCUCUGCCGGCCGAAGCUAGCAAGAGGCCAAAGGUUCACAGGGUAUUGGAUGAAAGUCACCAACGUGCACUUGCCGAAGCCGGCCAGCACUGAAGGCAACGAUUCGCAAUCAGUAAUGAUCCUUCCGCAGGUUCACCUACGGAAA